Molecule: long non-coding RNA, 524 nt
Filed under: Equus caballus (horse)
Lineage: Eukaryota; Metazoa; Chordata; Mammalia; Perissodactyla; Equidae
Description: lncRNA (ENSECAG00000057147.1)
Source: RNAcentral
CCGCUCUUUAGAGCCAAGUUGUGUGACACCUGAGAAAAUUCCCUUCACCUUCUUUUUGGACCCAAAGUGGUGCGGCCGUGUGGGAACAUCUGCCUCGUGGCCGUGGAUCAAAUGUUAGCCAAUUUUUUAAAAAAAUCAAUCUAGCCCUCAGGCUAUCCCCAGGAAUGGCUGCAGGUUCACAGGUUCUGAAGGUUGUUUCCGACAAGAUGCUCCACCUACAGUUUCUGCAGAAAACCAAGGACUCCCCUUCCUAGGCUCCCCCAUCUUCCUGCACCAGUCUGGACCGGUUGCUCGUUAGGCCUGCUGCACAGUUGUCAUUCUGAAACUCCAGACCACUCUUCCGGACCGGCCCUGAAUUAACUACUGCCAGUCCUCCUCUUUUUGCUGAGGAAGGCUGGCCCUGAGCUAACAUCCAUGCCCAUCCUCCUCUACUUUAUGUGUGGAACACCUACCACAGCAUGGCUUUUGCCAAGCAGAGCUAUGUCCGCACCGGGAUCUGAACUGGUGAACCCCGGGCCUCCAAG